AUAUAAAUAACAAUUCCAAACAAAGUACAAUUGACCUAUUCUUCACUCAAGAAGUGACUUAUAUAUAGCUUGUUAGGAAACAAAUUAUUCCUUUCCCUGCUAUUUCAUCAUCCAGCUAGUUUCACAUUCUGGGUUUCCUAAGCACAGACAGCUCAAUAGGAUCUAUAUGUAUUUGGGCCUCUGGCAAAUGAUGAGAGUAAUACAAGGUAAAAUAUCUUUUACACUAUUUUAAGAAAUAUGUUUCUUAUUACUUGCUGAAAAUGUGUUUAUUACAGAUUAUCUAGAAAAUAUUGCUCAGCAAAGAAGAAAAUUAAAAUCAUCUGGGGCUUUACGCCCCCAGCCAAAGGGAAUAAAUAAAGGAUGAUGGAGACUUAGAUUGAUGUAUAAACAUCUCAAAAAGAUGUUUCUGCUACCUCAUUAUUUAUGUCAAUGAAAUAGGCUCAGCUGACUAAAAUGUGCAUUCAGCCAUUCAUAUUUUCAGUUUAUAAGAGUCAGUGAGCACAUCAAGAAGAGGAUUAAAACAUAGCUAAACAACUUAUUACCUUCCAUAUCUGCUGAUUGAUGCCAAAUAUUGAUGCCAAAGUAUUUCUAUAACUUUGAUGAAAGGAGAAAGCAUUGAUGGUGAGGGGAAAAACAGCUAGUAUCACACUCUAGCCAAAUCCCAAAAACAGGUUCACAUAACUCCUGUCUUCAUUAUCUGAUACCCAGUGAGUCACUGAAUUCCUUCAUGUAGUCGAAGGCUUUAUGGUCAAUUGUGUCAUAUGCACAGAGGUCAAAGAUCAUGAAUACUGGCAGAGUCUUGGUUUUGGUGUUAUGGAGGCGGACCUGUGAAAGACUAGCCCGGUGCCUGGAGUCUUAUUAACAAAUGACUGGUGAAGACUUUAACAGAAUGGACAGGAUUCUAAGGUGAUAAAAGCAGAGAAAGUUCAGCUUGAUGCAGCAGAACAUUAGAAGGGAGUUUUAUCUUUGUAUAUCCUGUUUUCUUUUUUUUUUGUUUUAGAAUAUGUGAAACUUAUAAAUAGUUGGAUUUGUGAUAAGUAGUCAUAGUGAGCAAGCAUUGAUGGUGAGGAGGAAAACAGCAUUGAUACCAAUAGUGAAGCAGGACUGUGGAGUAUGGAAUUAAGAAGUAGACCUGGGAAAAUUAAAGUUUAGUCUACAUUUUUUUCUGAGAUGAAAAUAUAUUAAAAACAAAAUUUGUAAAGUGGAGAAGAAGAAAAUGAAAUGCAUUAAUAAUAAUUUGAACGUUUAGAUAUUAUUCCAUGAUGCAGACUUUAAAUGUAAUUUAUUUAUGGAGUCCUUGACAUCGCAC
Macaca mulatta (Rhesus monkey) is the source of this 1309-nucleotide non-coding RNA. Lineage: Eukaryota; Metazoa; Chordata; Mammalia; Primates; Cercopithecidae. The record is from RefSeq and is a predicted model, not a curated record.